CCACACGACCGUACCGCAAACCGACACUGGUGCGCGAGAUGAGUAUUCUAAGGCGCUUGAGAGAACUCAGGAGAAGGAACUCGGCAAAUUGACACCGUAACUUCGGAAGAAGGUGUGCCUUUAGUAGGUGAACCUGUACAAGGGGAGCCCAAUGAGGUUGCAAAAAAUCGGUGGCUGCGACUGUUUAAUAAAAACACAGCACUCUGCAAACACGAAAGUGGACGUAUAGGGUGUGACGCCUGCCCGGUGCUGGAAGAUUAAAUGAUGGGGUGCAAGCUCUUGAUUGAAGUCCCAGUAAACGGCGGCCGUAACGAUAACGGUCCUAAGGUAGCGAAAUUCCUUGUCGGGUAAGUUCCGACCUGCACGAAUGGCGUAACGAUGGCCACACUGUCUCCUCCUGAGACUCAGCGAAGUUGAAAUGUUUGUGAUGAUGCAAUCUCCCCGCGGAAAGACGGAAAGACCCCAUGAACCUUUACUGUAGCUUUGUAUUGGACUUUGAACAGAUCUGUGUAGGAUAGGUGGGAGGCUUUGAAGUGUGGUCGCUAGAUCGCAUGGAGCCAACGUUGAAAUACCACCCUGGUGUGUUUGAGGUUCUAACCUAGGCCCGUAAUCCGGGUCGGGGACAGUGCAUGGUAGGCAGUUUGACUGGGGCGGUCUCCUCCCAAAGCGUAACGGAGGAGUUCGAAGGUACGCUAGGUACGGUCGGACAUCGUGCUAAUAGUGCAAUGGCAUAAGCGUGCUUAACUGCGAGACUGACAAGUCGAGCAGAUGCGAAAGCAGGACAUAGUGAUCCGGUGGUUCUGUAUGGAAGGGCCAUCGCUCAACGGAUAAAAGGUACUCUGGGGAUAACAGGCUGAUACCGCCCAAGAGUUCAUAUCGACGGCGGUGUUUGGCACCUCGAUGUCGGCUCAUCUCAUCCUGGGGCUGUAGCCGGUCCCAAGGGUAUGGCUGUUCGCCAUUUAAAGAGGUACGUGAGCUGGGUUUAAAACGUCGUGAGACAGUUUGGUCCCUAUCUUCCGUGGGCGCUGCAGAUUUGAGGAAGCCUGCUCCUAGUACGAGAGGACCGGAGUGGACACACCUCUGGUGUAUCGGUUGUCACGCCAGUGGCAUUGCCGAGUAGCUAUGUGUGGAAGAGAUAACCGCUGAAAGCAUCUAAGCGGGAAACUCGUUUCAAGAUGAGAUCUGCCGGGGCCUUGAGCCCCCUAAAGAGUCGUUCAAGACCAGGACGUUGAUAGGUCGGGUGUGGAAGCGCAGUAAUGCGUUAAGCUAACCGAUACUAAUUGCUCGUGCGGCUUGACC
This 1299-nucleotide ribosomal RNA is filed under the name metagenome. RNAcentral's name for it is "bacterial LSU rRNA". It matches the Rfam family "Bacterial large subunit ribosomal RNA", at positions 1634 to 2925 of the family's 2925-position model. The record is from RNAcentral.